This 1302-nucleotide ribosomal RNA is filed under the name Schizochytrium sp. KK-2016. RNAcentral's name for it is "SSU rRNA". It matches the Rfam family "Eukaryotic small subunit ribosomal RNA", at positions 56 to 1422 of the family's 1831-position model. Lineage: Eukaryota; Bigyra; Thraustochytrida; Thraustochytriidae. The record is from RNAcentral.
GGUAGGUAUAAGCGAUUGUACUGUGAGACUGCGAACGGCUCAUUAUAUCAGUAAUAAUUUCUUCGGUAGUUUCUUUUAUAUGGAUACCUGCAGUAAUUCUGGAAAUAAUACAUGCUGUAAGAGCCCUGUAUGGGGCUGCACUUAUUAGAUUGAAGCCGAUUUUAUUGGUGAAUCAUGAUAAUUGAGCAGAUUGACUUUUUAGUCGAUGAAUCGUUUGAGUUUCUGCCCCAUCAGUUGUCGACGGUAGUGUAUUGGACUACGGUGACUAUAACGGGUGACGGAGAGUUAGGGCUCGACUCCGGAGAGGGAGCCUGAGAGACGGCUACCAUAUCCAAGGAUAGCAGCAGGCGCGUAAAUUACCCACUGUGGACUCCACGAGGUAGUGACGUGAAAUAUCGAUGCGAAGCGUGUAUGCGUUUUGCUAUCGGAAUGAGAGCAAUGUAAAACCCUCAUCGAGGAUCAACUGGAGGGCAAGUCUGGUGCCAGCAGCCGCGGUAAUUCCAGCUCCAGAAGCAUAUGCUAAAGUUGUUGCAGUUAAAAAGCUCGUAGUUGAAUUUCUGGCAUGGGCGACCGGUGCUUUCCCUGAAUGGGGAUUGAUUGUCUGUGUUGCCUUGGCCAUCUUUCUCAUGCUAUUUUGGUAUGAGAUCUUUCACUGUAAUCAAAGCAGAGUGUUCCAAGCAGGUCGUAUGACCGGUAUGUUUAUUGUGGGAUGAUAAGAUAGGACUUGGGUGCUAUUUUGUUGGUUUGCACGCCUGAGUAAUGGUUAAUAGGAACAGUUGGGGGUAUUCGUAUUUAGGAGCUAGAGGUGAAAUUCUUGGAUUUCCGAAAGACGAACUAGAGCGAAGGCAUUUACCAAGCAUGUUUUCAUUAAUCAAGAACGAAAGUCUGGGGAUCGAAGAUGAUUAGAUACCAUCGUAGUCUAGACCGUAAACGAUGCCGACUUGCGAUUGUUGGGUGCUUUAUUCUAUGGGCCUCAGCAGCAGCACAUGGGAAAUCAAAGUCUUUGGGUUCCGGGGGGAGUAUGGUCGCAAGGCUGAAACUUAAAGGAAUUGACGGAAGGGCACCACCAGGAGUGGAGCCUGCGGCUUAAUUUGACUCAACACGGGAAAACUUACCAGGUCCAGACAUAGGUAGGAUUGACAGAUUGAGAGCUCUUUCAUGAUUCUAUGGGUGGUGGUGCAUGGCCGUUCUUAGUUGGUGGAGUGGUUUGUCUGGUUAAUUCCGUUAACGAACGAGACCUCGGCCUACUAAAUAGUGCGUGGUAUGGCAACAUAGUGCGUUUUUAACUUCUUAGAGGGACAU